UCGCGCGAGGGACAAGGUGCGCGAGGCGCACGCAUCUUCACCUCCACUGUCGGGAGUUGACCUGCUCCUCCCGCGUGGUUACCCGUCGCUGUAAAUGGUACCCUCGCCUUCCCGUUCAUACUAACUAAAAACUCCUCCCUCACUCCCCAUGUUCAUCUUUUACUGAGUCCUGUGCAUUCUACCGCCUACACAUCCGGCGGUCGUGCCCGGAUCUCUAUCCCCACUUACCACCACUGCCCCCCACCCACCCGUAGAUCACAACAUCCAGUUUCUCCUCAUCUCCAUGAUCUCGCUGUCUUCCAGCUUCCACUCAUGCCCCUCGCAUUCAUUAUCCGUCUGCAGCCACAGGACAGAUAAUUAUCCAAACAAAAAAAAUGCAGGAAAUAUUCUGGAUCCCCGAGCAGUCUUCUCAACUGGUACGAGGAAAAGUCAAGAAAAGCCCCUUUGAGAAGGUCUCCCUGGAAGACAGGCCCAUGAAGAGCUGAAGAAAGAAGUGGGAGGACAGAGGAGAACUCACACAAGGGGAUCAAGCUGGUGAAAACUGGAGAACCAGGCAGGGCCUGUGGAAGACUUCAUCUUGGCAGAGGGAAAAGGCUUCCAAGAAUCUUCCAGUUAUGCAAAGGCAAGGCCCAGCGGUACAUCUGGACAGAGUAGGGAUUGAGACAAGGAUGAAGGGGCUUUUCCGAAUAAAGUUGUGUUUUCCUUUGAUGAAAA
This 714-nucleotide long non-coding RNA is filed under the name Homo sapiens (human). RNAcentral's name for it is "HSALNT0361236". The record is from RNAcentral. Lineage: Eukaryota; Metazoa; Chordata; Mammalia; Primates; Hominidae.